AUAGCUUCUCGGCCUUUUGGCUAAGAUCAAAGUGUAGUAUCUGUUCUUAUCAGCUUAAUAUCUGAUACGCCCUCCAUCGGAGGGCAUCGAUAUUAAACUACUAAGUCAGAUAUGUCAACAACAGAAACCCCU
Molecule: small nuclear RNA, 132 nt
Filed under: Helobdella robusta
Lineage: Eukaryota; Metazoa; Annelida; Clitellata; Rhynchobdellida; Glossiphoniidae
Description: U2 spliceosomal RNA
Rfam family: U2 spliceosomal RNA
About the family: U2 is a small nuclear RNA (snRNA) component of the spliceosome (involved in pre-mRNA splicing).
Source: Rfam by way of RNAcentral